CAUCAGGUUCCCCUCCCCUUCUCCCGUGUCGUCCCCCCCGCGGGCGACCCGGGAGGGCGCCCCCGCCACCUAGGGUUUCCCUGCCCCGCCGCCGACGGGCGCCACCGGGCAAGCCCUUGUGGCCUUGGCGGCCUUGGCGGCGGCGGGGCUACUUGUCUCCUGUUCUGCGGGGUGGGGGUGCGGGGCUCCAUCUCCUUGACAGCGUCGUAGGGCAGUACGUCGCUCCCGUGCCCGGUGCCUUCCGCCGACGCCCUACUGGCUCGACGGCAUGACAUCCAUCUUGGGGUGGCUCUGUGUUGGCAUUCCUGGCAGGGGCGCUGCCUCCUGGUGGCGGAUCUAGGAGCUCCUAGAUUGGAUUGAGGAUGGAGGCUAAGGACUUAGGAGUGGCCGCCGGCCCUACGGGGUGGCGGUGGUGUUGCAUCUAGUGGCCAUGCUUCGCUGGUGAGGUGUGGCUGGGUGACUUCUGCAUCUGACCAGGACGUGGAGGCGCGAGGUGCUGUGGUGGUGGCUGGAGCACCAGCGCUGCUGAGCUGCCGGGGAUGGCCGAGAUCCGGUGCACAACAUGCUGGAUAAAGGUUCAUCGAGCAGAUCCAGGAGCUAAAAUAUGGUGAAUAGGUAAUAUCUUUUACUACUACAUCAGUACUCACUGUUACCGCGAUAAAUAAACUAGUAAAUGCAUCAAUACCUGGAAUAAAUGGAAAUUUAGGGACAAAAGGACGUAGCAGUCCCUUCUGUAUCCGACAAUCGGCUGGAUUGAUGCUUGCUGCUUCAACUUUUAUAAGAACUUCACCUUUUUUCAGUGAUGGAA
This is a long non-coding RNA of Aegilops tauschii subsp. strangulata, 808 nucleotides long. RefSeq lists it as uncharacterized. The record is from RefSeq and is a predicted model, not a curated record. Lineage: Eukaryota; Viridiplantae; Streptophyta; Magnoliopsida; Poales; Poaceae.